CUAGCGUUGUUCGGAAUCACUGGGCGUAAAGGGCGCGUAGGCGGCCUGGCAAGUCGGUUGGUGAAAGCCCGGGGCUCAACCCCGGAGGUGCGCCCGAAACUGCUUGGCUUGAGUACCGGAGAGGAUGGCGGAAUUCCCCAAGUAGAGGUGAAAUUCGUAGAUAUGGGGAGGAACACCGGUGGCGAAGGCGGCCAUCUGGACGGAUACUGACGCUGAGACGCGAAAGCGUGGGUAGCAAACAGG
This 243-nucleotide ribosomal RNA is filed under the name uncultured bacterium. Its description in RNAcentral is "partial 16S ribosomal RNA". It matches the Rfam family "Bacterial small subunit ribosomal RNA", at positions 535 to 776 of the family's 1533-position model. The record is from RNAcentral.